ACAACUGAUUGUUUGAGAAUUCAAAUGAGGGAGUAACGCCCUGAAGGGAUUCCACUGAUACUCCAACAUGCGUUUGGUUGCGUAAUUAACCAAGGGUGUGAAGCUUGGUGAAGUCGACUUGAGCUUCUGUUAAUGGAAAUCCAUAUGAACAUGUGUUCAUAUGGAUUAAAGUUCUCAAAAUCGACCCAGAGGUGGGCGAGGAAGAUUGGUCGGGUGGCUAAAAA
Molecule: non-coding RNA, 224 nt
Filed under: Robinsoniella peoriensis
Lineage: Bacteria; Bacillati; Bacillota; Clostridia; Lachnospirales; Lachnospiraceae
Source: RNAcentral